This 841-nucleotide long non-coding RNA is filed under the name Anas platyrhynchos platyrhynchos (common mallard). RNAcentral's name for it is "lncRNA (ENSAPLG00000029652.1)". The record is from RNAcentral. Lineage: Eukaryota; Metazoa; Chordata; Aves; Anseriformes; Anatidae.
CUGCAGCAGCACGUCCCAACGUUUCCAUCUCUGUCACCGCCAAGUACUUGGGCAGCAGAAGCUGGAAGAACUCAGUUAUUGACAAAUCACUCCUCACAUGUGAAAUGCAAGCCCUUUGCCCUCCCCACUAAUGCCUGCCCUUCUUCAAGGGCUAUUGCAAGAAAUUUACCCAGAAUCAGUAAGCAAAAUCCAACAGAUUUUUGCAGCCUGACACUUGGAGGUAAAUGCACACAUAACUGGGUGAAAGCCGAAGAAGACCCUUCCACCUCCUCCUAGAAGCCCUGCAGCCACCCUGCCAUCCCUGCAAGCCCUGGACUCAGGAGGAGUGGGGAGAGAAGGAAAAGCCCCAUUUGGGAUCUCUGUAGAUGCAAAGCCUGUGGACAGAGCAAGCUGAGAGCCCUGCCAAAAUAAGGAGCCAGGACCUGUCUAUUGUCACCAUCCAGGACACCCAUGGAUGACCUGACGAGUUGUGGAGAUGGGGAGGCCAACUGCAUGUCAUGAGGGACUCCGUGUCAGCUUUGGGAUGCACAACCCUCUUCAUCCAGCUGAGAGGCAGCCUGGACCACAGUGCCCACAAAGAAAUGAAACUGGUUGCUAAGUCGUCAUUUCCCAGGCAAGCACUGAACUUUUCAUUCAACGAUGAGAAGAGGUGCUUGGCUGACAGUCCCGGAGACUGAAGAUCCCUGCUUGUGAUUAAUGGUAAAUACGCCACCCUUUUUAAGAAAGAUUGAGCCAAAGAAACCCCAGAGCUUUAAACAUAUGAAUCACUUGAAUCACAACUCUCAUUUGAAUACCUUCCACAAGCAAUAAAAAAAUGGCUUCGGUUUUAUUUUCCUUUACC